Molecule: ribosomal RNA, 253 nt
Filed under: uncultured bacterium
Lineage: Bacteria
Description: partial 16S ribosomal RNA
Rfam family: Bacterial small subunit ribosomal RNA
Source: RNAcentral
UACGGAGCGUGCAAGCGUUAUCCGGAUUCACUGGGUUUAAAGGGUGCGUAGGUGGGUUGGUAAGUCAGUGGUGAAAUCUCCAGGCUUAACUUGGAAACUGCCAUUGAUACUAUCAAUCUUGAAUACCGUGGAGGUCAGCGGAAUAUGUCAUGUAGCGGUGAAAUGCUUAGAUAUGACAUAGAACACCAAUUGCGAAGGCAGCUGGCUACACGAAUAUUGACACUGAUGCACGAAAGCGUGGGGAUCAAACAGG